AGUGAACGCUGGCGGUAGGCCUAACACAUGCAAGUCGAACGGCAGCACAGUAAGAGCUUGCUCUUACGGGUGGCGAGUGGCGGACGGGUGAGGAAUACAUCGGAAUCUUCUUUUUCGUGGGGGAUAACGUAGGGAAACUUAUGCUAAUACCGCAUAUGAUCUACGGGUGAAAUCAGUGGAUAUUCGGACCUUGCGCGAUUGAAUGAGCCGAUGUCGGAUUAGCUAGUUGGCGGGGUAACGGCACACCAAGGCGACGAUCCGUAGCUGGUCUGAGAGGAUGAUCAGCCACACUGGAACUGAGACACGGUCCAGACUCCUACGGGAGGCAGCAGUGGGGAAUAUUGGACAAUGGGCGCAAGCCUGAUCCAGCCAUGCCGCGUGGGUGAAGAAGGCCUUCGGGUUGUAAAGCCCUUUUGUUGGGAAAGAAAAGCAGCAGGUUAAUACCCCGCUGUUCUGACGGUACCCAAAGAAUAAGCACCGGCUAACUUCGUG
This 492-nucleotide ribosomal RNA is filed under the name uncultured bacterium. Its description in RNAcentral is "partial 16S ribosomal RNA". It matches the Rfam family "Bacterial small subunit ribosomal RNA", at positions 29 to 507 of the family's 1533-position model. The record is from RNAcentral.